UACGGGAGGCAGCAGUGAGGAAUAUUGGUCAAUGGUCGAGAGACUGAACCAGCCAAGUAGCGUGCAGGAUGACGGCCCUAUGGGUUGUAAACUGCUUUUAUCAGGGAAUAAAGUGAGGCACGUGUGCCUUUUUGUAUGUACCUGAUGAAUAAGGACCGGCUAAUUCCGUGCCAGCAGCCGCGGUAAU
Molecule: ribosomal RNA, 187 nt
Filed under: uncultured rumen bacterium
Lineage: Bacteria
Description: partial 16S ribosomal RNA
Rfam family: Bacterial small subunit ribosomal RNA
Source: RNAcentral